AGAGAAGUGAAACGAAGUUGGUGGCUUGGUGGGAUAGGAAGCUGAAACCAAUGGUUAAGUCAAAGUUUUGUUUUCCUUGAUUUGCUAUACAUUAAGAUAAUCUCUGCAAUGUGUGUUUCCCAUUGUCAGCUAAUUCAGAGGCAGAUGUUGCUUCCGUUAUUUAAAAAUCUCAGAAGCCUGGCAAAAAGGAACGCUAUGGAAAGCACCAGAGAGCUGACUGUGUUCUUCCUGACCCAUGUUCCGGCAUCGAUGGGUUUGGAAGACAACCGUGCCAAUACAAGUCCCACACGUAUGGAGUAGUCCUGUGCUCAGGCCCAGGGUCAAGAAGAUUCCGGAAGAGAAUGCUACCCAUCCCUAAUGAGGUGCUGCUGCAGCAUCCACCUGAGGAGCCCAAAGGGCUUGUCCUUGGCAGUAACCGUCCAUCCCUGCUGGGUCUCACAUGUGUGGCACCCACGGUGCAAUUCUGCAGUGCUUUUUCUCCAAGGCACUGAGGGCAGUUCUCCGGAAGGAAAUGAAAAAUAACAGCCUGGAGCCCUGUGCUCCCAGAUAUAUGCAGCGUGCUUAUGGCAGAAGAAUCCCAAUUGUGAGCUGGUACUUAGAGGAGGUUUGCUGUGGUGAUCAGCCUGUCUGUGUGGCGGACUUGGAGAAGCCUGUGAGGCCCACCAGGAUGUAAGCUCCAUGUCUGUCCUCAUCCAUCCUGCAUGUCCGGUGCCUGAAUCAGUUUCUGCACAGUGAAUGCAGUUGAAUGAAUGAACCAAUGAGUCUCUGCCAUCAUGACGCAUCCUCAAAUGGGAGAGCUGAUGCCACCUGUGGGGCGAGGGAUAUAAGGUCGGAGAUGAUGUUUGCAAGUGUUCUGGACCUAGGACACAGACUGCCUUCACUUCACAGGCCCUCCCUGCAAAGUCGGCUGCAUAAGGGCCAGGGCAGGUCCAUGCUUCUCCUGGGUCCGGGCAGGGAGGCUGCCAGAGCCCUUAGCAUCACGUGCAGAUGCCGGCGCUGCCGUUGGGUUGGGUGACCUCAGCACUGAAGAACGCAUCCUCUCUGACACGCCUCAGGUCCGGGAGGUUAUACAGCAGCCGGCAGGGUUUCAGGAACCAGCACAUUCUUUCCAAGAAGAGUCAGCUGUAGUCAUUCACGGAUGUUGAAGUCAAAAUGUUUUACCUCCAGUGGCCACAAGAUGGAAGAGAUCUGCUUUUCCAGCGACACAGGGGAGGUUUGUACCAAGCCUGUGGGGAGACUCCGGGAAGCAGGGCUGACGUAGUUUAACCAGUUGAGGGUGAUAGGGGCCUGCAGAACAGUCAUUUCCUGAGAAAGAGAGCUGUGCCUGUAUGUAGGGGGAGGGGCAUCUGAGCCAGCAGUGCAGAUCUCAGAAAAUGUUUCUCUUCUCCCCAGAAUUCUUAAAUUUCCUAAGGGGAGAAGUGGCAGGAAGGAGAAUUCUGGGCUUGUGCCUUUCUACUUCCAGGCUUUGGUGGCCAAGGAAGGAGUUCUAGAUUCUGGUCAGAAGCUCAUCUGAAUGUGGUGAGGAGGACACUCACAGGUUCUUGGUAUCUUUGUCUUGGCCUUUCUUCCUUUUUUCUCCCAUUUUCCCUUUUAAAAAUUUCGUUUUCAUUUUUACGAAGGCUUCAGAUUUUUUGGUUUGAAGGAAGAACUCAGGGCCAGGAGGGGUAGAAUAAGUUUCACAUGAUGAGACCUCCUUUGGAGGAAGGACAAUCUGACUACGUGAGGUAGAGACAAGGGCCGAGUGUUUUUUUUUUUUGUUUGUUUGUUUUUAAUGACGAAAACUAGUCCUUUGAGUUCUGAAGUCGGAAUUUUGGCCACCUGGUAGAUGAUUCAGUAUUCUGCUAUGAUUUUUCCUUAUUUAGCGUGGAUAGCGUUUUCUCACUUUCCUUUUUGGUUGGAUUUUUAAAAAGUUAUUUCAUAUGCAAAAUACAGAGUCAAUGAGUGAUGCUAAAAUGAUUUGUGUUUCCAGGAAGGCAAGACUGAAUUCUUAAGCAAUAUAAUGUGGGAAGAGGACUCUGUUAUGGGAUACUUAUAGUCACUGGAGAAAGGAGGGAUCCAGGGACUCUUAGGACUCAGCUGUAUAGGGGAGGGGAGUAGGACGUGAUGAGGGGAGAAUUUGGCUAGGCCAUCUUUCUCUCUCCUGAUGGGACCCUUCGAGGGUUAUUACAAAGCCAGCUUUGCAGAGGGUUGCCACUGCUGGCAACCAGAGUGAAUGCUUGGGUUACUUAAGAUCGCUAGGCUUAAUGAAAUCAUCAAUGCUUUCUGGGGAGAGAACAAAGUGACAAAAGCAAGUUUUCCUUUCUCAUUCUCUUGCCUUACCUUUCUAAAUCUGAUUUCAUUACACUGAAAUGUUGAAAUGCAUGAAAAGUCUUUGAUAAAGUAACAUUAAUAAGAACCAAUUAAUUUGGGAUUUGUGAUAAUUCAAGCAGGGGUUGGGUUGCAGUUACCUUUGUAUUAUUGGAGAAACAGGUCUUCAAAGCAAAUUAAUAGCACAAAAAGAUCCCAGAGGAAAUACUUAUGAGUAUAAAACAUUUUCCAGCCUUAUAGUAACAUCCAGUUGAACAUCCACAAGCGAUUCAUUCUUAUCUAAUCAAUUAAAAGGGGUCCAUUAGGACUCCAACCUGGCAAACCUUGGGUUAGCCCAAUCCAAGUGUUACUAACAAACACCCUGGAGAGGUCAAGGUUCAUGUCCCCUGCUCCACCUCCAGAAGGCUCUCGGAUGUGGACCAAUGACAACACAGGGCUGACAGAGGCCAGGGUGGGACUUUGGGAGGAGCAGCAAAGAGCCGCCCCAUCUUCAUCUCCAACCUCCGAAUGCCUUCUUCCUCUUGGAACUUGUCUCCCAAGGGCCUGGUGUUGCAAGAGGAGUCUGGAACCUUUUCUAUUCACCUGGGAAAAGUAUUGCUGCUCUCAGAGAAAAGCCACUUGGGAUGGGGGUAGGCCCCAGGGCAGGAGGCCAAGGAAGCAGACCUUGCCUUUCAUCUGGGCCAUCGGGAAUCCUCAGGGCAAAGAGGUAGUCUAGUCCAACCCACAAGGGUUGGCAACCCCAGAGGGCUUGGGGCCAGGGAACUGGUCCUGAAGAGUGUCGCUUUGCCUGAACAAUCUUUUCUGCUCAUCAUCCUGAGACCAUGAGAGUUGCCUGGCUUCCAUAGGGUUAAAAGCAUGGAGCUGGAGCUGGUGCCAGCCUGCCUGGUUCAAAUCCCCAAUGCUGCUGCCUAUGAACUUGUCUGUAAAUGGGGUUAACAACAGCAGCUCUACCUCACAUGGUUGUCAUGAGGAUUAAAUGUAUUAAUAUUCUUAAAGUGCUUGGAUACCACUUGGCAUAUGUAAGUGCUAAAUAAAUGUUUGUUUAAUAAAUAACCGUUAUAUAUGCUGGAAUGUGAUCACACUUCAGUGUUAAAAUUAAUCUUUCAUGAAGUCUUUUCACAAACUUCAACUGGCCUUAUCUCCCUUAAAUCCAAAAUAGUGAUGUUUUAAGGCACGCUUACGCAAAUAAAUGCCCAAAAUUUUAACACCACGGGCAGAGAGCUUCUAUACAUGCACCGAGAAAUGAAAUGAAUUCAGACCCUUUCAGGUGCAAGUGAAGAAAUUAUCUGCUCAUGUUUUAAAAGUGUAAAAUAGAAUGUUAAUUUUUCAGGAUGUUUACAUUCUCAUUCCCUUAUGUCCCAACAAUUCCCUAUCAUUGUUUAAGGCUUAACCCUUCCUCUACCCUUAAUUUCUCCCACAAAUUGUCACUGCAGUUCAUCUUUAAUAUGUAAUUGGAUUCCUCAAUUUAAAACUAUAUUAAGGUAAUGGGUUCUAAAGUACAACCAGGCUUAUUUUUAACUGCGUGCAAGAAGCUGAAGUACUAUGGAAAAAUCAAGAAUUGUACUGCUCCACUAUGAGACUGCAGACCAAAAUAGACUAGCACUGGGCUCUUCACCCUGCCACCAACUAUAAUUAGCUUGUCUACAGCACGAAGGGGGAAAAAAAUCACACUACCACUUAAGGUGCUGAUUGAUAGAACAACCCAUUUUUAUCCUUUCAGAUCCCCCUUUUGUGGGUAAGCCAUCCUGUGUUUUGCCUGCAUUUGUUAAAUCAUACCCACUCUCCCC
RNAcentral lists this long non-coding RNA (4094 nucleotides) under Homo sapiens (human). RNAcentral's name for it is "HSALNT0211257". Lineage: Eukaryota; Metazoa; Chordata; Mammalia; Primates; Hominidae. The record is from RNAcentral.